Molecule: non-coding RNA, 418 nt
Organism: Pelodiscus sinensis (Chinese soft-shelled turtle)
Lineage: Eukaryota; Metazoa; Chordata; Testudines; Trionychidae
Source: RefSeq, a predicted model, not a curated record
GUCAGUGGCACAGAGCUUCCUUAGCUGUUACACAAGACAAGGAGCAGCAUUUGGAGCAUCAUUUUCCUCCUGAAACCUGCAAGAUCAAAUGAGAGCAACAGUGCCAUAAAGAAAUGGGCUAGUUAUUUCCAGCUAGCGAGACCUGGGAGUAUUGUACACCAGAAGUAGGUUGAAAUGUGAGCAGCGAUAAGGCAGGGGACUGCACGAAGAGAAAGGAUAGCCUCCUGGCUGUUUGAAUGCUGACCUGGAGAACUGGAUUCUAUUGCUGCCUCUGCUAUGGAGUUCUUGCGUGGUGCUGGGCAAAUCACUUAAGCCACAUUUUUUAAAGAUGCUCACUAUCAGUGUGUUCUUUAUUUUCUGGGUGCCCAGCUUGAGACCCUGGCAUCUGAUGUGUGGCAGUGCUAAGUACUCACUGCUA